GACGAACGCUGGCGGCGUGCUUAACACAUGCAAGUCGUACGGUAAGGCCCUUUCGGGGGUACACGAGUGGCGAACGGGUGCGUAACACGUGAGUAACCUGCCCACAACUUUGGGAUAACGCUAGGAAACUGGUGCUAAUACUGGAUAUGUGCUCCUGCUGCAUGGUGGGGGUUGGAAAGCUCCGGCGGUUGUGGAUGGACUCGCGGCCUAUCAGCUUGUUGGUGGGGUAGUGGCCUACCAAGGCGGCGACGGGUAGCCGGCCUGAGAGGGUGACCGGCCACAUUGGGACUGAGAUAAGGCCCAGACUCCGACGGGAGGCAGAAGGGGGGAAGAUUGCACAAGGGGCGCAAGCCUGAUGCAGCAACGCCGCGUGCGGGAUGACGGCCUUCGGGUUGAAAACCGCUUUCAGCAGGGACGAAGCUUUUUGUGACGGUACCUGCAGAAGAAGCACCGGCUAACUACGUG
Molecule: ribosomal RNA, 465 nt
Filed under: uncultured bacterium
Lineage: Bacteria
Description: partial 16S ribosomal RNA
Rfam family: Bacterial small subunit ribosomal RNA
Source: RNAcentral